This 253-nucleotide ribosomal RNA is filed under the name uncultured bacterium. RNAcentral's name for it is "partial 16S ribosomal RNA". It matches the Rfam family "Bacterial small subunit ribosomal RNA", at positions 524 to 776 of the family's 1533-position model. The record is from RNAcentral.
UACGAAGGGGGCUAGCGUUGUUCGGAUUUACUGGGCGUAAAGCGCACGUAGGCGGGGAUCUAAGUCAGGGGUGAAAUCCCGAGGCUCAACCUCGGAACUGCCUUUGAUACUGGGUUUCUUGAGUCCGGAAGAGGUGAGUGGAACUGCGAGUGUAGAGGUGAAAUUCGUAGAUAUUCGCAAGAACACCAGUGGCGAAGGCGGCUCACUGGUCCGGAACUGACGCUGAGGUGCGAAAGCGUGGGGAGCAAACAGG